RNAcentral lists this ribosomal RNA (444 nucleotides) under uncultured bacterium. RNAcentral's name for it is "bacterial SSU rRNA". It matches the Rfam family "Bacterial small subunit ribosomal RNA", at positions 331 to 792 of the family's 1533-position model. The record is from RNAcentral.
CCAGACUCCUACGGGAGGCAGCAGUGGGGGAUAUUGCACAAUGGGGGAAACCCUGAUGCAGCGACGCCGCGUGGGUGAAGAAGCGCCUCGGCGCGUAAAGCCCUGUCAGCAGGGAAGAAAAUGACGGUACCUGAAGAAGAAGCCCCGGCUAACUACGUGCCAGCAGCCGCGGUAAUACGUAGGUGGCAAGCGUUGUCCGGAUUUACUGGGUGUAAAGGGCGUGCAGCCGGAGAGACAAGUCAGAUGUGAAAUCCACGGGCUCAACCCGUGAACUGCAUUUGAAACUGUUUCCCUUGAGUGUCGGAGAGGUAAUCGGAAUUCCUUGUGUAGCGGUGAAAUGCGUGGAUAUCAGGAGGAACACCGGUGGCGAAGGCGGCCUGCUGGACUGCGACUGACGUUGAGGCCCGAAAGCGUGGGGAGCAAACAGGAUUAGAUACCCCUGUA